Molecule: ribosomal RNA, 863 nt
Filed under: uncultured archaeon
Lineage: Archaea
Description: bacterial SSU rRNA
Rfam family: Archaeal small subunit ribosomal RNA
Source: RNAcentral
GCGAGUCAUUGUAGUAAUACAAGGCAUACGGCUCAGUAACGCGUAGUCAACCUAACCUAUGGACGGGAAUAACCUCGGGAAACUGAGUAUAAUGCCCGAUAGAACAUUAUGCCUGGAAUGGUUUAUGUUCCAAAUGAUUUAUCGCCGUAGGAUGGGACUGCGGCCUAUCAGUUUGUUGGUGAGGUAAUGGCCCACCAAGACUAUUACAGGUACGGGCUCUGAGAGGAGUAGCCCGGAGAUGGGUACUGAGACACGGACCCAGGCCCUAUGGGGCGCAGCAGGCGAGAAAACUUUGCAAUGUGCGAAAGCACGACAAGGUUAAUCCGAGUGGUUUCUGCUAAAGGAACCUUUUGUUAGUCCUAGAAACACUAACGAAUAAGGGGUGGGCAAGUUCUGGUGUCAGCCGCCGCGGUAAAACCAGCACCUCAAGUGGUCAGGAUGAUUAUUGGGCCUAAAGCAUCCGUAGCCGGAUCUGUAAGUUUUCGGUUAAAUCUGUACGCUCAACGUACAGGCUGCCGGGAAUACUGCAGAUCUAGGGAGUGGGAGAGGUAGACGGUACUCGGGAGGAAGGGGUAAAAUCCUUUGAUCUCUCGAUGACCACCUGUGGCGAAGGCGGUCUACCAGAACACGUCCGACGGUGAGGGAUGAAAGCUGGGGGAGCAAACCGGAUUAGAUACCCGGGUAGUCCCAGCUGUAAACUAUGCAAACUCAGUGAUGCAUUGACUUGUGGUCAAUGCAGUGCUGCAGGGAAGCCGUUAAGUUUGCCGCCUGGGAAGUACGUACGCAAGUAUGAAACUUAAAGGAAUUGGCGGGGGAGCACCACAAGGGGUGAAGCCUGCGGUUCAAUUGGAUUCAACGCCGGA